UCCCUGGUGGUUCAAUGGUUAAUACCCUGUACUCCCAAUGCAGGAGCCUGGGUUCAAUCCCCGGUCAGGGAA
Molecule: transfer RNA, 72 nt
Filed under: Ovis aries (sheep)
Lineage: Eukaryota; Metazoa; Chordata; Mammalia; Artiodactyla; Bovidae
Rfam family: tRNA
About the family: Transfer RNA (tRNA) molecules are approximately 80 nucleotides in length. Their secondary structure includes four short double-helical elements and three loops (D, anti-codon, and T loops).
Source: Rfam by way of RNAcentral